UGCUGGCAGACUGCACUUUAUAAAUGGGUCUGUGAAUGCUAAGUGUGUUAAAAACAUCUUACUGGCCAAGCUGAUUGUAACAGUCAUGGAGAAAUUUUGUCAUUUGAAAUCCUUUAUCUUCCAGAACAAUUCUGCAAUAUGUUGCCAUGUCAAGAUGUUGAGUUCUUGUAAAAAAAAAUACUACAAGAGGCUCAGAUCAGAUGCCUGAGCUUGCCAGAUAAUGGACCUGAUCUCAACACUGGCAAGAACUGCUAACAUUAUGGACACAAAAAUUUUGAAAAAUAAACAGCAAGUUCCAGAUAGUAUUAGUAGAGUUUGGUAUCACAAUCUUUGUAUAGAAUAGUUGAAUAAAUUCAUCCACUCUAUGCCAGAGUGCUGCAAAGCUGUUAUUAAGGCUCAAGAUGUUCAUCGUAUAUUGGGAUCAUCUUCAAUGAAAAAUAUAACUGUUUGUUUUUUAGUCCUAUUUAUGGUGUGAAUGCUUUCCUUUUUUUUUUCCAUCUACAAUUGUGAAUGGCAAGUUCUUGUGACAGUGCUCAUUGACAAUAUUGGUGAGGCUGUAGUGUGAAAUAACACUUAAAUUUAAUGUAGCAUUAUAUGUAAUAAAUUGUAUUUUUUUGUUUAUUAUUGUUGGGUUUUCUUCUGUACUACAUAUGUUAUCAUUACAAAUCUCUAUCAUAGUCUUAAACAUACUGUUUUGCACAUCUGUCAAAUGGGUUUUAGUAUAAUGGUAACUAUUUAUAGAUAAUGCAAUUUCUAUGGCCACUACUGUAUGUAUAACUUUAAUAUUAAAAUUUGUAAAUAGGUUUUGGCUAUCUAAAAUUCAAAUUUCUGAAAUCUGAUGCAAUAAGGCAACUUUCCUAUAUUGAGUACUUUGAUUAAAACAAAAAAUUCUGCUAUAUUUCUUAAAUGAAGCAUGCAUUUAUACACUUGUCAACAUGAAAUUGCAAUGCCAUGAAUGAAAAGGUGAAGUGAUGAAACAUAGAGAAAUAGUAGAGGUAGUGAAAAUAUGGAAAUGAUAUCAAAAUUUAUUCAAUAUCUUGUAUUCAUUUUUUUUUAACUUGCAUAACAAGGAUGUGCACUGUGUACAGCAACAUGCACAACUAUAUACCUUAGCAUACUAGCAAGAGUUAUUGUUGGUUGUUUGAGGAAUGUUGUCAUGCUGCAUCCCCUUGGGCAUGUAAAACAUUAAAGUUGGCAGAUGGUAACUCUCUUUGCAAUUGCCAACUGAUGAUAUCCCACAUAUACUCUAUGGGUGACAAGUCUGGAGAUACAGCAUCGCCUAUUGUGUGUCCAGACUUGUCAUUUGCACAUGGCAGAUGUCAAGUCCAUGCAGACUAUUCGUGGUAACACAAGCAACAUGUAACCUGGCAUUUUCAUAUUGAAAAAUAGUAGACACUUUGCAGUAAUGGUCAUAACAUUGGCCAUAUGUUUUUGUUAUGAGGCCAAAUCAACAUAUUAUUUGCCUGUCAAUGUCUGCAAGAUGUGGGCAAAAGCUACCAAACACUGUAUCACCCCAGAUCAUAAUGCCAGAGGUGUUACUGCUGUGACAUUCCCUUAUGAAAGCAUAUUUAUGGUGUUGGAGACAUCUUCACAUAAUUAUGUGGUUUGUUAUAUCCAAGAUUCAUCACUAAACAAAGUAUUUCCAUUGCUAUCAUGAUCUGCAGCUAGGUCUCAUUAUGAUGAUGUGAACUUAAUGGAAUACUUGAAGCUGAACUUCUGGUUUGAAGACCAACAUCAUACAAAUGUCUCCUAAUAUUUUGCAGACAUCAUUGAACUUUCUGUAUGCAAGAACAAAAAUUUAAUCACUUGUAGCAAAGUGGUCAUUCACUGCCAUUGUCAUGACAUGAUGAUCAUCCAUACAGAAGUUGUUGCUUUGCUCAAUUUCUCAUUGUUAUUUGUUGGUGUCCUUGUAACCGUUGUUUUAUGUAAUGUUAAAUAGUGUUCCUGUUCCACCCACAUGCAUUAUGAUAGUUUGUAGGAACAAACCAAUGUCUGCAGUUCAAGGAUUGUGUUCUCACUAUCCAACAAUUAGCAAUAUCCCACACGUCCUUGUAAAUGAGAGAUUCUACCACACUACUUUCUUUACUCUCAUGUUUCAUGUGAUGAUGAUAAACUAUCUGCCAUGAAAAUGUUUAUACCUUUAAAACUUCUCUCAUGGAUCUGUGGUUGGAGCAAAAUAGUUUAUUUAUAAUUAACAGUAACAAAUUUUUAUUUUGUUUAAAAAUAGUAGCUGUUACUAAUGUUAUGCACUGGCUUUAAAAUCAUCAAUGGAUUGAUGGUUACCUCUGGCCAUAGUCUAGUUAAUUUGUUUUAUUUUUGACUCUUUUCAUCCUGUGGUCACUGAGAGGGCUUCUUUUUAAUCGUGUCCAUCAAGAGUUUGGCCAAGCCUACAGUGGCCAGAUGAUGAGGAUUGAGGCCUGAAUUCCCAGGUCAGAUCAUCCAUAAAAAUACUCAGAACAGUUUCUCCCAACUUGGCAGGGACUAAUGUACUAUCAAAUCUUUUUCUACAAUUUGCGGUUCUGAAUGUUCUCCAGUUGUUACUUAUACAGUAAUGAACAACAGUUGACUUACUUUGUAUUGACUGUUGUUUUCAUUUUAUAAUAACAAUCUGUUUUUUUAAUAACAGUUGAAAAAUAAAAGAUUGUUAAUUAAUAAUCCAUCAUUUGUUGGAGUUACAUAUGCAGAUCCAUUUGAUCAUUUACAUAUCUUAUUCAUACCUCCUAUUCUCCUGUUUGCAUCUUCUACAGCUCUUCUUUCGUGAUAUUGCAAUAUUACUGUUUAUGGGUGUAUAUAAAUAAAUCAGUCAAACUAUGAUUCUGCAUGUUAUUUCUAUAUGUUUGUAAUUGAUUAUUGAUUAGCAGAAAACUGUCUUAAUAAUUAAAAAGUUUUCAUUAAUUAAUACUACACUAAAAUAUAUACAGUUGAAACAUAUUAAUACUAAUGUAAUAUUAGAUACUAUUAAUAUUAAAUUAAUUUGCAGAAUGAAUGGAUAAUCUUUUCAUUUCAAAGCAAAUGAAACAUUUUCCAUAUUGUCACAAUAUCUUUAAUACCCAUGAAAAAUAUAUUAACAUCUCUGUUUAUAUUUGACAAACAUCAUACACUAUCCUCUACAUUGAAAAAAUUAAUUAUUACAAGACAGUAUUUUCAGCUAUUUUUAAAAUACCUUUGAGUACUUACUGUUUAUAACUAAUUUGCAUUCUACAGUUAUUUGGAUUUAAAUUUUAUUUCUUUUAUUUUAAUUAGGUAAAACUUAUAAUACAUUUUAUUAUUUCUAAUUAAUAAAACAAAAUUUUUAUUGUCAUAAAGAUUGUAAUUUAGAUAAAGUAUUUGUGUAUAGUUGAUUUUUGUUUGUUUUGAUGAUGAUUACAAAAUUCUUUAAUUUUACAGGUUACCAGACAACUGGGUUCCAGAGUCUCAGGCUUCGUCACUCUCCCAUCGUAUCAUUCCAAUCUCAUCUCUACCUCGGGAUGUUUUGGCCCAGCUUGACCCAACAUAUGCAUGUCGGCCUUCCUGCUCACCGAUGAAACGUAAACGCAAAUGACGUCCACAGAUUAUAGAGCUGCCAGUCCCCAAAAGUGCCACAUAGUUUGUGUUGUUCCACGCUUCCAUUGCACAUCAUCAGCUCUCCUAAUUUAAUUUACACCAUCAUUCUUGCAGUAAUUUAUUUCACGACAAAUUUAAGCCAUAAACCCUAUGCAACAUGGCUGAGUACAAAUACAUAUUCCUUGGCAUUUAAAUGGCUAAUUGUCAAUAAAAGGCAUGGUUGGUAAACUGCCAUAUAGAAUAUUUUAAUGAAAGAACAAGAAAUGUGGCAUGCCUAGUGCCUUUUCUUUUUCUCUUGUGAAAGGUUGGAGUCUAAAGUAGGCCAAAAUUUUAAAUCUGAUACCAUCUUUACAAAGUAUUUAUGAUCUCAAAUUGAUGGUAAACUGAUAAAUGCAGAAGGCAGACUGUUUAGACUGAUCAUUAAAUGCACUGUGUGGAUGAGGAAAUAUUAAUAAUUUGGGCUGUUCAAUUUGUUUGGUCGCCUUUAUAAAUGGAUAAUCAAUUACAAAGGCAAGCCUACAAUUCAUUGAAUAUAUUGAUAUACUACCUCUAGAUUACUGAAGUCUAUUCCAAGUGUCAUCUUGCCAUGAAUUAUUAAACUUCUCGUUUGUGAUUUUUCCCCCCUGUGAUAUUUGUAGUCAGCAGUCUGCCUCUUGCAUAAACAGUUUGGCAUUUUGGACUUCAUCUAAUUCACAGUUUAGUAUUUUAGGAUGCAAUGUACAAAUUGAUACAGUACUUGGUUUUUUUUAUCAUAUUUCUUUGUGAUGCACCAGUAAAUAGGGAACAGUAAAGCAAUUUUGACAUUUGUUAAUUUUUAUCUGAUCAUAAAUAAUCUCCAUUUCAGUUUGUACAUUGAUAUCUAGCUGCUCACUGCCAAUAUCAGAGAAAGUUUAACAAUUGCCAAGGACACUGCAGAUACAGCCAUGUUGUUUAAGGGAUGGUAACCUCUCAUGGUGUGCGUAUAUAAGUAUGAAUGGGCAUAUUAUGUAUAAAUGGAUUGUUAAUACUGUAGUAUUUUGCAUGAAUGAAAGCAACAACACUGCCAGUAUGUAUCACUGUAGCUUAAUAAAAAUAUAAUUUAGAGAUCUCAUGAUAGACACUGUGGCACUAUGACAUGGACAUACCAAGUGACACCCGAACUAAUGAACCAUACAAACAGAGGAGUUAAAAGCAAAUGGGUGUCUAAAUUUGGUGAAGUCAAAAGCCUCGAGAAAUAUUGAAAAGAAGAAUAUUGAUAGGUGGUGGUGAGAUCUCAGCAGUGAAGAAAAAAUUAGCUACAGUAUCCAAAGAGACACUGCCAUUAAUUUACACCACCCCUCAGGGAAGGUGUCCCAGAUAAUAGUUCUGGGUUUCAUUUUUGUGUAAUUUCCUUUUUACUGCAAUACUGUUAGAUAACCCUUGUUAAUAGCAUGUCCUCUUAUUUCCCUGUGUUGUGAUUGUAUCAAUGUUUACAGAAUUGCACAGAAUACAGGAUGGUCUUUUUAAAUCACCUACCACAGUUAAUUUCUUAAAAAAGAUAAAUGAUAAACAAAAUAGUAUGGAACACGUUGAAAAAUUUCAGUUAAUAACUUCAAAACAAUCUUCAAAAAUCUAAUUAUGUAAAUACUUCAAUAUAUAUGUUUAGUGAAUAUUGUGUUCCUUUGUAGAUUAUAUAAAUAACCAUUAGGAAUUCAUGUGAAAACUUUAAUAGGUAAUUUUUCUGUAUUUAUCAUAUUAUGAUUCCAUUUGAUUGCCAUGAGAUUAUAAUUAUUAUUAUUAUUAUUAUUAUUAUAAUUAUUAUUAUUAUUUUUUUUUUUUGCAUUUAUGAGGUGAUCUAAAUUGGCAGUCCUGACUGAACAUUUCUGACUUCCAGGUCAUGUAUCUGGUCAAUAAAAGACAAGAUUUUUCCAAUGGAGGUCACUAGUCAUGUUUUAAUUUUAGAAUUUGUUUUGACAUAUACUGAUUUUAAAAAUAUAAUUGGUAAUAGCAGCAAGAAUAUAUCAGGGAACUAGUAACAGACCAAAUAUCAUUUUAAUUUUUUUUUCUCUUUUCCUUGAUAAAAUGUUCUCACAUUAUCAGUAUUUUCCAUGUUGGAAAACAAAAUUUGAAAUGUGUAAAGACUUAUUUUAAUUGUGUGACUAUUAAUAAUUAUUGAUGGCUGCCUUUCAUGAAAAUUUAAAAUUAUAUUUAAAAAAAUGAAUAAAUUAUAAUAUUAGUAAUUCCAGUCAGGCAUAACUUAAAGAUAAAAAAAAUUGUAACCAAUAUAAUUGAAACUAAGAUAUUUUAUGUAAAAUUUUAUUUAUUAUUAUUUUUUAUCAAACUAUACAAAUGUCUUUUAUUUGCUAUUCUUCAAUUAGUUUGAUAUGAGGGACCAUAAAUUCCUCAUUCAUGAGGAUUAUGAUAUUAAAAAAAAGUACACUAAAUGUUGAACUGCCAAUGUCAAACUUGAAAAUGGACAGUAUUGUUUAAAAAAAUUCUCUAUUCGAAUAUCAUCAUAUUCUUCAGAAAGAUUGUGUUUUCACUACUUUAAAAUCACAGGAUUUGACUCAAAAAAUCUUUCACUAGCCAUUUCCUUUCAUCGUUGAUGCAAUUAGCACUUUUAGAACCAAAGUAUAAUGAAGUAAAGGUAUCUUUUUUUUUUUUUUUUUUUUUACUAAAAGAUACUAAUUCCAUUGGCUAGGUGUAUUCUGUCCAUGUUACUGCCUUUAUGCUCACAAUAGUGGGUUUGUUGCAACAUCUGAAUUUGUAUUACUCUGUUUGGCAUAUAUUCAUGUAAAUUUAAAAUGAAAAAAAAAAGAUUAAAAAAUUAAGUGUGGCAAGAAGUUUGAAAGAAAGUAAACAGCACAUGACAGUAUACUUUUAUGUAGAAAAUAUUAAAAAAAAAACUAAAUUGUAUUUUCAGUAAUUUUCAUUAAAUUAUGUAAAACUUAAAUGGACAAUUUCAAAAAAUAAAUAAAUAUUUCAUAUUUACUUAAACAAUAUAUUAUUCUAAGAAAGAAAGAAAAAUGUAUAUAAAUAUACCUGUUAAUCUGUAAAGUAGAAUAUACCAGAGAAAGGAUAGUCCAGGUGUGAAAAAUGUAUUGUGAGUUCCUGGACGAUGAUUGUAAAAAUAAAAAUGACUGCCUGUCAUGUGCUGAAGAAAUGGGAAUUUUGCUCUGCAAGGCUGCAGGGGUGGUGUACAAUAUUUGUACCUGACAGUCUCCUGUUAGACUGUUGGCCAUCUCCAGGUUCACCAGAUGAGGGACCUGCUAUUUUUUGAGUGUGUGUAAAUAUCUGGUCACUCUUUUUUUCCGUUUGUUCUUGUAAUAGUAAACUGAGAUGGUCAGAUGUUGGAGGUUUUUUUUAUGUUUUGUGAAAAAUAUUAAUUUUUUUCAUGUUGUAACCCACAUAAAAAAGUGUAGAGUGUCAACUUGCCAAAUUAAAAUUGUGGUUUGAGGACA
Long non-coding RNA from Centruroides sculpturatus (bark scorpion), 6962 nucleotides. RefSeq lists it as uncharacterized. The transcript is spliced from 2 exons. NCBI's taxonomy places the organism in Eukaryota, Metazoa, Arthropoda, Arachnida, Scorpiones, Buthidae. The record is from RefSeq and is a predicted model, not a curated record.